AUGAAGGUCCACCCUUAAUCGCACCCUUGAACCUACCUAACUGUCAGUAGGGCAGGGGUGUCAAACUCAAUUCCUGGAGGGCCGGAGCCCUGCAGAGUUUAGAUUGAACAAUGAGACCAGCCAAAGGAGUCCAGGUUGUCUGUGUCUUUAUAGUGAGUGCUGAUGAGGAGGUGAAUCCGAAUUUCAGGGAGAGUGAACGAGUGGGCAGAGUGUGCUGAUCUGGUAACGAUGGGUUGAUUGUGGUCUCUGUGACAGAAUGACUUGAGGGUCCCAAGUGACUAUUUUCAAUGAAAGAGACCCAUCUCAGGAACUGCAUGUGCAGCCAAUUCAAGCAAUCACGAAUUAACCACAAGUGUGCCGCCCGUAAAUCCAGUGUUGAUGACUGCCUGUGUAUUUAGGCCAAGAGAAAGACUGGUCUCCAAAGGCAAGUCCCACUCCAGCCCCCAACCAGAUGAUACCCUUUAACCACAGACUUGUAUAGUAUGUGGAUUAGGGCCUGGGCCUUACGGAUUCUCAAUAUUCAUACCCAUGAUAGUGGAAACAGCCCUUUGAGCAGUCACUGAGGAUGGAGAAACUUGAUAGGAGCUAUAAAUUCCGCCUUUCCAAUGUGUGUAAUGUGGAGAGUCACAAUCUCAAUGCAGCGAGGGAUAUCGUUUGCACACCAAAGUUAUAUUUUGCUCUCUUUUUGGGGAUGAUUUGAAUUAUGAUGCUAUCUGAUAGACUCACUUUUCUAAACACCAUGUUGAAAAUCGUCAUUAUUUCAAAAGUAAGUGUGCUUUGGCAUCAGAUAAUGUUUCUGUAUCUGAUAAUAAAUGCCAGCGGGCAUCACAAGACACCACUGACAUUUGCUGGACUGACCUGUAGCUCUAGCAGUCAGCUGUGUGAGUGUGUUCGCCUUGAGGGGACCAGACCAAAAAACACUAGGGGAAAACCCACGAGAAACAGACAGUUUGACUAAUGGAGAGUCAUCUUCAAAAGGAUCAGGCGUCAUCGGCUUCACAGACCAAAUCAGUGCCUCACUCUAAUGUGAGAGCGGGAUGGAAAAAGUCAUUGUAGUAGGUCUGAGAACAGCUUAAAAACCAUUUAGAGAGUCUUAAUUGAAAUUAAAAGAUGAGUUUAAGGC
Long non-coding RNA from Carassius carassius (crucian carp), 1123 nucleotides. RefSeq lists it as uncharacterized. The transcript is spliced from 2 exons. The record is from RefSeq and is a predicted model, not a curated record. NCBI's taxonomy places the organism in Eukaryota, Metazoa, Chordata, Actinopteri, Cypriniformes, Cyprinidae.